This 319-nucleotide ribosomal RNA is filed under the name Enterobacter sp. SMg2Bb. RNAcentral's name for it is "bacterial SSU rRNA". It matches the Rfam family "Bacterial small subunit ribosomal RNA", at positions 443 to 757 of the family's 1533-position model. The record is from RNAcentral. Lineage: Bacteria; Pseudomonadati; Pseudomonadota; Gammaproteobacteria; Enterobacterales; Enterobacteriaceae.
GGAAGGCGUUGAGGUUAAUAACCUCGGCGAUUGACGUUACCCGCAGAAGAAGCACCGGCUAACUCCGUGCCAGCAGCCGCGGUAAUACGGAGGGUGCAAGCGUUAAUCGGAAUUACUGGGCGUAAAGCGCACGCAGGCGGUCUGUCAAGUCGGAUGUGAAAUCCCCGGGCUCAACCUGGGAACUGCAUUCGAAACUGGCAGGCUAGAGUCUUGUAGAGGGGGGUAGAAUUCCAGGUGUAGCGGUGAAAUGCGUAGAGAUCUGGAGGAAUACCGGUGGCGAAGGCGGCCCCCUGGACAAAGACUGACGCUCAGGUGCGAA